ACUCAAAUGAAUAGACGGGGACCCGCACAAGCGGUGGAGCAUGUGGAUUAAUUCGAUACUAACCGAAGAACCUUACCUAGGUUUGACAUCGAGAGCAAGACGUAGAGAUACGUUCCUCCCCCACAAGGGGACUCAAAGACACUUGUUGCAUGGCUGUCGUCAGCUCGUGCCGUGAGGUGUACGGUUAAGUCCGCCAACGAGCGCAACCCUCGUCCUGUGUUACCAGCAUGAAAGAUGGGGACUCACAGGAGACCGCCGGUGUAAGCCGGAGGAAGGUGAGGAUGAUGUCAAGUCAGCAUGGCAGUUACAUCUAGGGCUUCACACAUGCUACAAUGGACGAAACAAAGGGCAGCAAUACCGCGAGGUGGAGCCAAUCCCAAAAAUACGUCCUCAGUUCAGAUUGUAGUCUGCAACUCGACUACAUGAAGGCGGAAUCGCUAGUAAACGCAGGUCAGCUAUACUGCGUUGAAUACGUUCCCGGGUCUUGUACACACCGCCCGU
This 501-nucleotide ribosomal RNA is filed under the name uncultured bacterium. Its description in RNAcentral is "partial 16S ribosomal RNA". It matches the Rfam family "Bacterial small subunit ribosomal RNA", at positions 899 to 1397 of the family's 1533-position model. The record is from RNAcentral.